RNAcentral lists this ribosomal RNA (428 nucleotides) under Bacteroidota bacterium. RNAcentral's name for it is "Bacteroidetes bacterium partial 16S ribosomal RNA". It matches the Rfam family "Bacterial small subunit ribosomal RNA", at positions 355 to 776 of the family's 1533-position model. The record is from RNAcentral. Lineage: Bacteria; Pseudomonadati; Bacteroidota.
UAGGGAAUCUUCCGCAAUGGGCGAAAGCCUGACGGAGCAACGCCGCGUGAGUGAUGAAGGUCUUCGGAUCGUAAAACUCUGUUAUUAGGGAAGAACAAAUGUGUAAGUAACUAUGCACGUCUUGACGGUACCUAAUCAGAAAGCCACGGCUAACUACGUGCCAGCAGCCGCGGUAAUACGUAGGUCCCGAGCGUUGUCCGGAUUUAUUGGGCGUAAAGCGAGCGCAGGCGGUUAGAAAAGUCUGAAGUGAAAGGCAGUGGCUCAACCAUUGUAGGCUUUGGAAACUGUUUAACUUGAGUGCAGAAGGGGAGAGUGGAAUUCCAUGUGUAGCGGUGAAAUGCGUAGAUAUAUGGAGGAACACCGGUGGCGAAAGCGGCUCUCUGGUCUGUAACUGACGCUGAGGCUCGAAAGCGUGGGGAGCGAACAGG